Molecule: transfer RNA, 64 nt
Filed under: Insulaphylus sp. ph6
Lineage: Eukaryota; Metazoa; Arthropoda; Insecta; Hemiptera; Miridae
Description: tRNA-Asp
Source: RNAcentral
AAAAGUUAGUUUAACUAAAACAUUAAUUUGUCAAAUUAAAAAUAUUAUAAAUUAAUACUUUUUA